GACGAACGCUGGCGGCGUGCUUAACACAUGCAAGUCGAACGGAAAGGCCCUGCUUUUGUGGGGUGCUCGAGUGGCGAACGGGUGAGUAACACGUGAGUAACCUGCCCUUGACUUUGGGAUAACUUCAGGAAACUGGGGCUAAUACCGGAUAGGAGCUCCUGCUGCAUGGUGGGGGUUGGAAAGUUUCGGCGGUUGGGGAUGGACUCGCGGCUUAUCAGCUUGUUGGUGGGGUAGUGGCUUACCAAGGCUUUGACGGGUAGCCGGCCUGAGAGGGUGACCGGCCACCUUGGGACUGCGAUACGGCCCAGACUCCUACGGGAGGCAGCAGUGGGGAAUAUUGCACAAUGGGCGGAAGCCUGAUGCAGCAACGCCGCGUGCGUGAUGACGGCCUUCGGGUUGUAAACCGCUUUCGCCUGUGACGAAGCGUGAGUGACGGUAAUGGGUAAAGAAGCACCGGCUAACUACGUG
This 468-nucleotide ribosomal RNA is filed under the name uncultured bacterium. Its description in RNAcentral is "partial 16S ribosomal RNA". It matches the Rfam family "Bacterial small subunit ribosomal RNA", at positions 28 to 507 of the family's 1533-position model. The record is from RNAcentral.